RNAcentral lists this unclassified non-coding RNA (161 nucleotides) under soil metagenome. RNAcentral describes it as "partial internal transcribed spacer 1". The record is from RNAcentral.
CAGGACUUAGACAGACUCAUACAACCCUGUGAACAUACCUAUAAGCACGUUGCUUCGGCGGGUAUCGAGACGGGUCCUCCCUACACGGGGCUCAGCCCGCCGGCAGGACCUACUAACUCUGUUCUUUAGAUGUUGUAUCUGAGUACAAUCAAAUAAAGUUA